CUACGGGUGGCUGCAGUGGGGAAUAUUGGACAAUGGGCGCAAGCCUGAUCCAGCAAUGCCGCGUGAGUGAUGAAGGCCUUAGGGUUGUAAAGCUCUUUUACCCGGGAUGAUAAUGACAGUACCGGGAGAAUAAGCCCCGGCUAACUCCGUGCCAGCAGCCGCGGUAAUACGGAGGGGGCUAGCGUUGUUCGGAAAUACUGGGCGUAAAGCGAACGUAGGCGGCUUGGCAAGUCAGGGGUGAAAUCCCAGUGCUCAACACUGGAACUGCCUUUGAAACUGCUUGGCUUGAAUCCUGGAGAGGUCAGUGGAAUUCCGAGUGUAGAGGUGAAAUUCGUAGAUAUUCGGAAGAACACCAGUGGCGAAGGCGACUGGCUGGACAGGUAUUGACGCUGAGGUUCGAAAGCGUGGGGAGCAAACAGGAUUAGAUACCCCAGUAGUC
Molecule: ribosomal RNA, 439 nt
Filed under: uncultured bacterium
Lineage: Bacteria
Description: partial 16S ribosomal RNA
Rfam family: Bacterial small subunit ribosomal RNA
Source: RNAcentral